Molecule: long non-coding RNA, 6433 nt
Filed under: Sus scrofa (pig)
Lineage: Eukaryota; Metazoa; Chordata; Mammalia; Artiodactyla; Suidae
Description: lncRNA (ENSSSCG00065070277.1)
Source: RNAcentral
UUUUUUUUUUUUUUUUUUUAAAUAAUGUAUUUGAGCCUAUAUGACCAUCAGGCUAAAGCAAGCAGAUACAGGAAGGGGUUAACAUACUUAAGAAACAGGGCAACCACAAAUCAAAACCAAACAUUACAUUCACAAAAACUAAAAAGAAAAGUACUCAAGCAUAAAAUAAAUGGAAAUCAUACAACCAAAAAAAAAAAAAAAAAAAAAAAACAAGGAAGAAAGGAGAAACAUAGAAUGAACAGGAAAACAAGGCUUAAAGUGGCAAUGAAUAGGAGUUCCUAUUGUGGCGCAGUGGAAACAAAUCUGACUAGGAACCAUGAGGUUGUGGGUUCUAUCCCUGGCCUUGCUCAGUGGGUUAAGGAUCCAGCAUUGCCGUGAGCUGUGGUGUAGGUCACAGGUGUGGUUUGGAUCCUGCACUGCUGUGGCGUAGGCCGGCAGCUGUAGCUCUGAUUCAACCCCUAGUCUAGGAACUUCCAUAUGCUGCAGGUGUGGCCCUAAAAGGAAAAAAAAGACCAAAAAAAAAAAAAAAGGCAAUAAAUACAUAUCAAUGAUUACCUUAAAUGUCAAUGAACUGAAUGCUCCAAUCAAAAGACACAGAAUGGCAGAUUGGAUAAAAAACAAAACCUACAAUCUGCUGUCUACAAGAGAUUCACUUAAGGGCAAAAGACACAUAUAGAUUGAAAGUGAGGGGAUGGGAAAAGAUAUUUCAUGCCAAUGGACAAGACAGGAAAGCAGGAGUUGCAAUACUCCUAUCAGACAAAAUAGACUUUAAAAUGAAGUCCAUAAAGAAAGACAAAGAAGGACACUAUUUAAGGAUUCAUUCAAGAAGAGGAUAUUACAAUUGCCAAUAUAUACGCCCCUAAAAUAGGGGCACCCGGAUACCUAAAACAAAUACUAAAGGACAUAAAAGGAGAAAUUGAUGGGAAUACAAUCAUAGUAGGAGAAGACUUUAACACCCCACAAACAUCAAUGCACAGAUCCUCUAGACAGAAAAUCAGUAAGGCAACACAGAUCCAAAAUGACACAAUAGAAAAGUUAAUCAACAUUUUCAGGACACAAUAGAAAAGUUAAUCAACAUUUUCAGGACAUUACAUCCAAAAAAGUCAGAAUAUUCAUUCUUCUCAAGUGUACACGGAACAUUCUCAAGGACUGACCACAUACUGGGGCACAAAACCAACCUCAACAAAUUUAAGAGUAUAGUAAUUAUUUCAAGUAUCUUCUCUGACCACAAUGGCAUGAAACUAGAAAUCAACCACAGGGGGGAAAAAAAAUACAAUGGGUCAAUGAGGAAAUCAAGAAGGAAAUUAAAAAAUACCUCGAGACAAAUGAUAAUGAAGACACAACCACUCAAAAUUUAAGGGAUGCCACAAAAGCAGUGCUCAGAGAGAAAUUCAUAGCUAUACAGACCUUCCUCGAAAAAAGAAAAAUCUCAAAAUCGAAAACUUAACCCACCACCUAAAUGAAUUAGAAAAAGAACAAACAAAACUUAAAGUCAGGAGAAGGAACGAAAUCAUAAAGAUCAGAGAGGAAAUCAAUAAAACAGAGAUUCAAAAAACAGUAGAAAAAAAUUAGGAAAACCAAGAUUUGGUUCUUUGAAAAGGUAAACAAAUUGACAAACCUCUGGCAAGACCCACCAAGAAGAGGAGAGAAAAAACCCAAAUAAACAAAGUAAGAAAUGAAAAAGGAGAAAUCACAAUGGAUACUGCAGAAAUACAAAAACCCGUAAGAGAAUAUGGUGAACAACUGUAUGCCAACAAUUUUGAAAACCUGGAAGAAACGGACAACUUUCUAGAUACUUACAGCCUGCCAAAACUGAAUCAAUAAGAACUAGACCAACUGAACAUACCAAUCACUGAAAGUGAAAUUGAAUAUGUAAUAAAAACACUCCCUACAAAUAAAAGUCCAGGACCAGAUGGCUUCACAGGUGAAUUCUACCAAACAUACAAAGAGGAGAUUAUACCCAUCCUCCAUACACUUUUUCAAAAGGUUGAAGAAGAAGGAAUACUCCCAAAGACAUUCUAUGAUGCCACCAUCACCCUAAUUCCAAAACCAGACAAAGAUAUCACCAAAAAAGAAAAGUAUAGGCCAAUAUCUUUGAUGAAUAUAGAUGUAAAAAUCCUCAAAAAUUUUAGCCAGCUGAAUCCAACAACAUAUAAAAAGAUCAUACACCACAACCAAGUGGGAUUAAUCCCAGGUUCACAAGUGUGGUUCAACAUAUGCAAAUCAAUCGAUGCCAAACACCAUAUUAACAAAAGAAAAGUCAAAAAAUCAUAUGAUCAUCUCAAUUGAUGCAGAAAAAGCAUUUGAAAAAGUCCAACAUCCACUCAUGAUCAAAACUCUUACCGAAGUGGGUAUAGAGGGAACAUACCUUAACAUAAUAAAAGCCAUAUAUGAAAACUCACAGCAAAUAUAAUACUCAAUGGAGAAAAGCUGAAAGCCUUCCCACCAAAAUCUGGAAAAAGACAAGGAUGCUUACUCUCACCACUUUUACUCAACAUGGUAUUGAAAAUCCUAGCCAUAGCAACCAGACAAACCAAAGAAAUAAAAAGCAUCCAAAUAGGAAGAGAAGAGGUAAAACUGUCACUGUAUGCAGAUGACAUGAUACUCUCUAUAGAAAAUUUUAAGGACUCAACCCUAAAACUGCUUAACUGAUCAAAAAAUUCAGCAAAGUAGCAGGAUAUAAGAUUAACAUUCAGAAAUCAGUCACAUUUCUGUAUACUAACAAUCAAGUAUUAGAAAAGGAAUACAAAAACACAAUACCUUUUAAAAUUGCACUCAAAAAAAAAAUCAAAUACCUGGGAAUAAACCUGACCAAGGAGGUAAAGGACUUAUAUGCUGAGUACUAUAAAACAUUAAUAAAGGAAAUUAAAGAAGAUGUAAAGAAAUGGAAAGAUAUUCCAUGCUCCUGGGUUGGAAAAAUUAGUAUUGUAAAAAUGGCCAUACUACCCAAAGCAAUCUACUGAUUCAGGGCAAUUACCCAUGACAUUUUUCACAGAACUAGAACAAACAAUCCAAACAUUUAUAUGGAACCAUAAAAGACCCAGAACUGGCAAAGGAAUCCUGAGGAACACAAACCAAGCAGGAGGCAUAACUCUCCCAGACUGCAGGCAAUAUUACAAAGCCACAGUCAUCAAGACAGUGUGGUACUGGUACCAAAACAGUCAGACAGACUGACCAGUGGAACAUAAUAGAGAACCCAGAAAUAAAUCCAGACACCUACAGUCAAUUAAUCUUCGCCAAAGGUUGUUUGAGUAAGUGGUGCUGGGAAAACUGGACAGCUGCAUGUAAAUCAAUGAAACUGGAACACACCCUCAUGCCAUGCACAAAAAUAAACUCAAAAUGGCUUAAAGACUUAAAUAUAAGACAAGAAAUCAUCAAACUCCUAGAAGGGAACAUAGGCAAAACAUUCUCUGACAUCAACCUUACAAAUGUUUUCUCAGGUCAGUCUCCCAAAGCAACGAAAAUAAAAGCAACAAUAAACCAAUGGGACCUAAUCAAACUGACAAGCUUUUGCACAGCAGAGGAAAUCAAAAGGAACACAAAAAGAUAACUUACAGAAUGGGAAAAAAUAGUUUCAAAUGAUGCAACUGACAAGGGCUUAAUCUCCAAAAUAUACAACUUAUACAACUCAACAGCAAAAAAGCCAAUGACCCAACUGAAAAAUGGGCAAAAGACCUGAAUAGAUAUUUCUCCAAAGAAGAUAUACAGAUGGCCAACAAGCACAUGAAAAAAUGCUCAACAUCACUGAUUAUUAGAGAAAUGCAAAUCAAAACUACCAUGAUACCACCUCACACCAGUCAGAAUGGCCAUCAUUAAUAAAGUCCACAAAGAACAAAUGUUGGAGGGGGUGUGGAGAAAAGGGAACCCUCCUGCACUGCUGAUGGGAAUGUAAGCUGCUACAACCACUAUGGAGAUCAGUAUGGAGGUCCUUUUCAAAACUAUACAUAGAACUACCAUAUGACCCAGCAAUCCCACUCUUGGGCAUAUAUAUCUGGACAAAACUUUCUUUAAAAAAGACACAUGCACCUGCAUGUUCAUUGCAGCACUAUUCACAAUAGCCAGGACAUGGAAACAACCCAAACGUCCAUCAACAGAUGAUUGGAUUAGGAAGAAGUGGUGUGUAUAUAAACACAAUGGAAUACUACUCAUCCAUAAAAAAGAACAAAAUAAUGCCAUUUGCAGCAACAUGGAUGGAACUAGAGAGUCUCAUACUGAGUGAAGUCAGUCAGAAAGAGAAAGACAUAUACCAUAUGAUAUGACAUAUCUGGAAUCUAAUUUAUGGCACAAAUGAACAUUUGCACAGAAAAGAAAUUCAUGGACUUGGAGAACAGGCUUGUGGUAGCCAAGGGAAAGAGGGAGGGAGUGGGAUGGACUGGGAAUUUUGGGUUAAUAGAGGCAACCUAUUGCCUUUGUAAUGGAUAAGCAAUGAGAUCCUGCUGUAUAGCACUGGGAACUAUAUCUAGUCACUUAUGAUGGAGCAUGAUAUAGGAUAAGUGAGAAAAAAGAAUGUAUACAUGUAUGUGUGACUGUCACCUUGCUGUACAGUAGAAAACUGAUAGAACACUAUAAACUGGCUAUAACGGAAAAAAUAAAAAUCAUUAUAAAAAAAAGCAAUGUGGGGUGAGCUUAGGCAACAAUGUAUCAAAUGGGAAGAGAACAAAUGUGCCCAGGUAGACAGAGGGCCAACCUGGCUCCUGAGCAUCGAGGCAGCCAUACAGCACAGGGUUCUCAGGAACCCAAAUUCCAAAGCUCGGGGAAGCACUGCAUCAUGACAUUUAUGUCCUCUCCUAAAGAACUGUGCCGAAUACAGUAACCCUGUGAAAUAUUUCUUUUCUUCCAAUUUCAGCUGGGUGUAUGGGUUUUUUGUUGUUUUUUAUUUUUGUCUUUUUAGGUCCGUGGCACAUGGACGUUCCCAGGCUAUGGAUCAAAUUGGAGCUCUGUAGGAAUAUCACAUCAAGCCAGAGGAUUCUUGCUCUGAAUCUCUAGCAACAUCACAACUUCAUGCCUUUUCUCCUUGAAAAUCUAUGAUGCGAGCUGUUUGGUGGUAAUACAGAUAUCCGACCCAAACUAAAUUCCUGGGAAAAUGUUAGUGUUCACACCUAGUAUUCCCAUGGCUUACAGUGUAGAACAUGCAGAAGUGAUACUGCUAAAACAUCUCUUGAUAGAAAGAAUAUACCCAAAAGGUUUACUUUAAAUUGAAGCAUGUUUAUUCAUUCAUUCAACAGACAGGGCAAAAAAGAGGAGGAGGUAUGAGAUAUAAGGCAGAAACGGUCUAUAUAACUAGGAAAGAGGUAGGCACAGCAUGGCGCCUUCCCUCUGAGAGUAUGUAUUACAGAGUGUUUUAGGCACGUGCUUUAACACCCUGCCAAGUUCAUUUUAUACUCCUCACUCUCCAGUAGGCACACGCAGGCUUAUAGACAAAAGGAUCCGAUGGAGGCCGUACCCAUCAGGAUAGGCUAGGUUGUACUGCAAUCCCUCCCAAAUCUGAGUGACUUCAUGAAAGUUUCUCUCCUAACCGCACACGUCAAAUACAGCAGCUCAACUCAUCAUCGUUGCCCAGGAAGGCAGGCUGACAGAAGCCUCAUCCUAGCAUGGUUUCCACGACAGAUGACCACACACGUGAAGGGUCCACUUGGUCCAAAACUCAUCAUUAAAUACGCUUUAGGCUGCUCCACUUACAUCUCCCUGGCCAGAACCACUCAGCCAGGUGGAAAUCAGAAAGUUCACUGUUCCAUGUGCCCAACAGGAGAGGAGGAUCAAAUAUUAUUAACUACAACUCUGACCACAGUGGUUUACUGUAAGGAAUGAGAGGAAGUGUGGAAAUGAGGGACGGACCAUUAGCUGGAUCUAUUUCCAGCUUGAAGAUUGAUGAGCCCCACGUUCAAAGUCCCUUACCUUCCCUAAGCCAAAGUUCGAGGGCAACAGUCUCUCUCCUGCCUAGCUUGGAUGGGGGCGUCUACAGCUGCAAGAAAGCAGGGGGAUAUGAAAAAGCUCUGAAAGCCUACACAUGCUCUGGAAAUGUAAAAUAAUGUUGAGUAUGAGUUUCAUGUGUUUGAGGAGGAUAUGGUUGGUCAGUGCUGGAGAAAAACUGAUAAACACAGGAGGCUGCCUAGUGAUCGGGGGUUGGGGGGAGGAUAAAACACAAGUUGCUUAUGAAUCUUGGCCAUAGAUGCCAAGGCCAAGAGCAUCAAGAAUGUUUUCCUGUUGGGUAAUGAGAAAAAAAAAAAAAGGAUGCUAACUCCCUGGAGCUCCGUGUCUCCUUGAAACAAACAACAAAAUUUCAGCCCAUCCUUAGGGCUCCAUGGUCCACCCUUUACACUGGCUCUCUCCACACGCCCGCUUCUUCACCCACACUAAAGGUGAUGCUGAUCUGGGCUCCAGCACAGCUUUCAUGCCUCUGAGUUUUGCUCUGUCCCUUCCUCCAGCUUUUCCC